GAACCCGUAGCUCAGCCCGGAUAGAGCGUCGGUCUACGAAACCGAAAGUCGCAAGUUCAAAUCUUGCCGGGUUCA
This 75-nucleotide transfer RNA is filed under the name Pyrinomonadaceae bacterium. RNAcentral describes it as "tRNA-Arg". It matches the Rfam family "tRNA". From Rfam's summary of the family: Transfer RNA (tRNA) molecules are approximately 80 nucleotides in length. Lineage: Bacteria; Pseudomonadati; Acidobacteriota; Blastocatellia; Blastocatellales; Pyrinomonadaceae. The record is from RNAcentral.